RNAcentral lists this ribosomal RNA (253 nucleotides) under uncultured bacterium. Its description in RNAcentral is "partial 16S ribosomal RNA". It matches the Rfam family "Bacterial small subunit ribosomal RNA", at positions 524 to 776 of the family's 1533-position model. The record is from RNAcentral.
GACGUAGGGCGCGAGCGUUGUCCGGAUUUAUUGGGCGUAAAGCGCGUGUAGGCGGCCAGGUAAGUCCGUUCUGAAAGCCCGGGGCUCAACCCCGGGAGGCGGAUGGAUACUGCUUGGCUCGAGUCCGGAAGAGGCGAGUGGAAUUCCCGGUGUAGCGGUGAAAUGCGCAGAUAUCGGGAGGAACACCAAUGGCGAAGGCAGCUCGCUGGGACGGUACUGACGCUGAGACGCGAAAGCGUGGGGAGCAAACAGG